GUAAAAAUCAUCUGGAGAUUUUGUUAAAAUGGAGACCUGGUGGACUGGGGUGGGGAUUGUGAUCUGAAUUUCUAGCAAGCUCUCAGAUGUUGCAAAU
This 97-nucleotide microRNA precursor is filed under the name Marmota monax (woodchuck). Lineage: Eukaryota; Metazoa; Chordata; Mammalia; Rodentia; Sciuridae. The record is from RNAcentral.